CAAAAUGUAGCUAUUAAGAAAGCCUCUCUUUUACACAGAGAUAAUGUCUGUGCAAAUCAGACCAUAUUGA
RNAcentral lists this transfer RNA (70 nucleotides) under Florometra sp. BMK-2020. Its description in RNAcentral is "tRNA-Val". It matches the Rfam family "tRNA". From Rfam's summary of the family: Transfer RNA (tRNA) molecules are approximately 80 nucleotides in length. Their secondary structure includes four short double-helical elements and three loops (D, anti-codon, and T loops). Lineage: Eukaryota; Metazoa; Echinodermata; Crinoidea; Comatulida; Antedonidae. The record is from RNAcentral.